UCCAAUUAAACAUUUAUAAUGAGACCAGUACUCAUUCACAAAGAAAACAAAGUACAAUGACUCGACCUCUAGUAGUGAAUGACUUGGAAUGAAAUGCUAUGAUAUGCCUUUACCUAUCUGCGAUGGACCAUAACUGCCAAUGAUUGCACGCUAGGCCGAUCACUAUCUGCAAAAGGGAAAUAAAGGGGUGAGUCUCACAGAUUCAGUGAUCAUCGGCUCAGUGAGCAGGGAGAAUAUGGGAAACAAGCAAUAAGCAGAUCAUUUGAAUGAUAAAACUAGAAUAUAAAAUGCAAUUCUUAUAAACCAAACCACAAUGAGAAUAUUUGUGCCUUGUAACAAUAAUAUCGUAGAAUCAUAAUAGAAUGCUUUCUUUGGCAAACAGUGCCGAAAAUAAGUGUAACAGAAAAAGUUUCAAUCACCGAAAACAUCAUUACCAUCAAAAUAUGAAAUACAAUAUAAAGGUAAGAACGCUCCAAAAAUGUGUGGCAUGUAAAGAAAUCAAAGUGUACAGCCACCUAAAUCAACUCAUGUUUGUCAAGUAAGCACUAUAAGCUUUUAUUUAAACAAUGGGAGCUGCAGAGAAAAUCUUAACUCUCCACCAUGCAAAAGGGCACGAGUUUAAAACUCACAAGGCUCUCGAGUAGGAAAGUAUAAUAUCAACACGUGGACCCACUUCCACUUAAUAACAAUCCGAGAGUUUUACUCCACUGGAUUCCCAUAGCCAUGGUAGUCUCCACGAUAUUGGCCGACAUUGGAGAAUCAAGCGGUUGCUACCGCGCACAUUUAGGAGUCUCACUCUACCGGAUCACUUGUGGCCUAGCCACGUAUACAUAUCACAGGUCGUGGCCCCCGUCACGCCUAACCGCCCGUUGGUGACUCAAAGGUUCUCUAGCUAGUGCUCACUCAUGCAAGAGGGUCACAUUUAACCAAAGUGACAGUCGACCUACUCUCGACACACUUGGUUUGUCAAAACCAUUUUCAAAAAUCAAAUCGAGGUUUCCAAGUCUUUUGCUUAAAACCCUUUGAAAACUAGGUUCAAUAACCUUUCAAAUUACUUUUCACAUAAAAAGGCAUGGUGUAUUCUUUUAUACAAAGAUCAGACUAAUACCGAUACUCAAAACUUGCAUUUUAGAUCAUUUAAACUAUGCAUAUCACCCACAAAUACAAGGCACAAAUUUUGAAUGCAAAACAGCAGAAAAGGCUUGUUUCCCGGUUUCUAAAACACUUUACGUAUAUAGCUCAUCUAUAGAUAUAUCCAAAACAAUUUUCAAAACAACUUGCAUCCACAAUUUCCUACGAGUUCCACCAGCUCAUGCUUUCCACAAUAACAGUGUAUAAAUCAUUAUAAAUCCAUUUAGAAAUCGCCUAUCGAAGCUAAUAGCUCAUGCUUUCCAUAAUUACAUUUAAUGAAAUACGAAAAUGUUUACAAAACGUACAACAUUAUAUAGCUAUGGAAAUUUUUGAAAUAGGCACCCCCUACUCACCUUACAAUAGCGUGACGUUUCAUCGCUAUUGAUUCGGGUGCGUAUCUCGCUAUUUCUACUUGCUAGUCACUCGUUACUUCACCCAGCACGCCACCACGGCAAACUUUUCUACUUAUAUACUUUCUAGCAACAAUCCAAAUUCAAUAAUCUUAGCGUUUAUCAUUCCCAUUUUCCUUCUAUUCAAACAUUACCAUCAUGUUAAUAACUCAUACUAUGCUAGAAUCACCACUUUUCCUCACUUAACCUUGCAUAUUUAUAUACAUCUUAACACAUUUUUACCCAAGUUGCCUUUAUCCUUUGCUUGCGUAAUUCUUUAAAUUAUAAUUACCAGUAACUUAUUUAAGACUCUAAUACAUAUAUUAAUCCUUUCUAAGGAUAUUUAUCAAGUUCAACCAUCAUUUCCACAACAAUAACCUAGCAUAUGGCAGCAACUAUAAUUUCACUUCCAUCAAACAUUUUCUAAGUCUACAUGUACUACCAUUCUCAUUUACAUGUGUCCACCAAGCAUAACAUCAAUAUUCAUUCACAUGCACUAGCAUCCAUAACCUUUUAAGCCUUUCUUAACAACACGUAUCCACACAAUCCAUUUUUUUUUCGAGCUUCCAAUUAAUAUAAUUGCUUUCCAACCAUACCCAUGAAAUCACCAUAACACUGCAUAUUGCACACAAUCAUUCUCAUAAUAUUAAACUAAUCAUAGACUUCAAAUUGUAGCAUUAAGCUUACCACUUGGUUUUAGCUUGGAUUUCACCCAACAAAACUCACACUUUCC
RNAcentral lists this long non-coding RNA (2253 nucleotides) under Theobroma cacao (cacao). RNAcentral describes it as "long non-coding RNA (TCAC_LNC003000)". Lineage: Eukaryota; Viridiplantae; Streptophyta; Magnoliopsida; Malvales; Malvaceae. The record is from RNAcentral.